AAUGAUACUUCUGCAAGGCAAUGCAGCCCGCAUGAUGGCGGGAUAUGUAUGUUCCGGGUUGGAAAUAAUAUCCGUUACGGCAUAU
This 85-nucleotide small RNA is filed under the name unclassified sequences. Its description in RNAcentral is "dinG RNA". It matches the Rfam family "dinG RNA". The record is from Rfam by way of RNAcentral.